This 992-nucleotide long non-coding RNA is filed under the name Homo sapiens (human). Its description in RNAcentral is "HSALNT0385289". The record is from RNAcentral. Lineage: Eukaryota; Metazoa; Chordata; Mammalia; Primates; Hominidae.
GGGUGCUCUUGGGAUUGCAACCAGCGCAAGCAGCACCCUUCUGCAGAAGUAAAGAUGCCUUGCUGGGAAGUCUUCUGUCUCAGUGCUGGUUUUUCUUGACUACACUGAGCACUUGUUUUCAACAAAUUUGAGGGUCUUCUGGGAUCCCAUUCUCCUUUGGGAGGGGUAGCGAUUACUUUUCCUCGUGAGACACGUCCCACUGCCUUGUUGCAGUGGCCCAAGGAGCGGAGGAUCGGGUCCACCCAAAGUGAGGAAUAAAUCCGGACUUUCAGCAACGUGGGCAGGAAGGAGCCUUAAAAUUCCCAGGCAAGUGGGUAACUCUGUGCACAGACCAAGCCGCCGACGGGACCAUCACAAAAGCUUUACAAGGCCUUACCACCCUGGCAAAUGAAUUAGCCGAAAAUUCUGGACUAGAUAACCCUUUUAUGGGUCUCAUGGAAAAGUGGUUUGGAAAAUGGAAAGGACUCCUGGCUUCAAUCUUUACCUCUCUUGCAAUUGUAACAAGUGUACUUAUCCUUGUGGGCUGCCGCAUCAUACCUUGUAUUCGUGGGUUAACUCAAAGGCUCAUAGAAACAGCCCUCACUAAAGCCUUCCUCUCUUCUCUCCCUCCAUACUUGGACAAGCUCUUGCUCCUGGAUAAUCAAGAAGAACAACGAAGCCAAAUCCUGUUAAAAUUUUUUGCAGAGGAAGAAGUAUCAAAUAGAAGAGAGGAAAUUGUUGGGACAGCUAAGCUCUUCAAAGACUCAACUUCCUGGUCAUAAACUUCUCCCCGUUUUUCUUCUUUUUCGCCAGUCUACCCUGUUUGGGAAAGUUUAAACCUUAGCCAGUCGGGAUCAGCUCAGAUUGUGCAGUCCAUCCCCAGUCAAUGGGGAAAGGACACAGAAACAGGAACUGCGUUAGGGUUAAAAAGCCCUUCUCUCCUUUGUUUGGGGUGCUCUUGCGAUUACAAGCUGCGCAAGUAGCACCGUUCUGAAGUAAAGAUGCCUUGCUGG